AUGCUUCCGCCUUAAGUCUUGAGA
Molecule: non-coding RNA, 24 nt
Filed under: Arabidopsis thaliana (thale cress)
Lineage: Eukaryota; Viridiplantae; Streptophyta; Magnoliopsida; Brassicales; Brassicaceae
Source: RNAcentral